RNAcentral lists this ribosomal RNA (207 nucleotides) under uncultured bacterium. Its description in RNAcentral is "partial 16S ribosomal RNA". It matches the Rfam family "Bacterial small subunit ribosomal RNA", at positions 568 to 774 of the family's 1533-position model. The record is from RNAcentral.
CGCGUAGGCGGCUAUUCAAGUCAGAUGUGAAAGCCCGCGGCUCAACCGCGGAAGUGCAUUUGAAACUGUGUAGCUUGAGUACUGGAGGGGGUAGUGGAAUUCCCGGUGUAGAGGUGAAAUUCGUAGAUAUCGGGAGGAAUACCGGUGGCGAAGGCGACUACCUGGCCAGAUACUGACGCUGAGGUGCGAAAGCGUGGGGAGCAAACA